UAUAUCGGAACGUGCCCUAGAGUGGGGGAUAACUAGUCGAAAGACUAGCUAAUACCGCAUACGAUCUAAGGAUGAAAGUGGGGGAUCGCAAGACCUCAUGCUCGUGGAGCGGCCGAUAUCUGAUUAGCUAGUUGGUAGGGUAAAAGCCUACCAAGGCGACGAUCAGUAGCUGGUCUGAGAGGACGACCGGCCACACUGGGACUGAGACACGGCCCAG
Molecule: ribosomal RNA, 217 nt
Filed under: uncultured bacterium
Lineage: Bacteria
Description: partial 16S ribosomal RNA
Rfam family: Bacterial small subunit ribosomal RNA
Source: RNAcentral